UACCAGCUUGCUGGUAUGAUUAGUGGCGAACGGGUGAGUAAUGCUUAGGAAUCUGCCUAUUAGUGGGGGACAACAUUCCGAAAGGAAUGCUAAUACCGCAUACGUCCUAUGGGAGAAAGCAGGGGAUCGCAAGACCUUGCGCUAAUAGAUGAGCCUAAGUCGGAUUAGCUAGUUGGUGGGGUAAAGGCCUACCAAGGCGACGAUCUGUAGCUGGUCUGAGAGGAUGAUCAGCCACACUGGGACUGAGACACGGCCCAGACUCCUACGGGAGGCAGCAGUGGGGAAUAUUGGACAAUGGGCGAAAGCCUGAUCCAGCCAUGCCGCGUGUGUGAAGAAGGCCUUUUGGUUGUAAAGCACUUUAAGUGGGGAGGAAAAGCUAAUAAUUAAUACCUAUUAGCCCUGACGUUACCCACAGAAUAAGCACCGGCUAACUCUGUGCCAGCAGCCGCGGUAAUACAGAGGGUGCAAGCGUUAAUCGGAAUUACUGGGCGUAAAGCGAGCGUAGGUGGUCAUUUAAGUCAGAUGUGAAAUCCCCGGGCUUAACCUGGGAACUGCAUCUGAUACUGGGUGACUAGAGUAGGUGAGAGGGAAGUAGAAUUCCAGGUGUAGCGGUGAAAUGCGUAGAGAUCUGGAGGAAUACCGAUGGCGAAGGCAGCUUCCUGGCAUCAUACUGACACUGAGGUUCGAAAGCGUGGGUAGCAAACAGGAUUAGAUACCCUGGUAGUCCACGCCGUAAACGAUGUCUACCAGUCGUUGGGUCUCUUGAAGACUUAGUGACGCAGUUAACGCGAUAAGUAGACCGCCUGGGGAGUACGGCCGCAAGGUUAAAACUCAAAUGAAUUGACGGGGGCCCGCACAAGCGGUGGAGCAUGUGGUUUAAUUCGAUGCAACGCGAAGAACCUUACCUGGUCUUGAC
Molecule: ribosomal RNA, 916 nt
Filed under: uncultured Moraxella sp.
Lineage: Bacteria; Pseudomonadati; Pseudomonadota; Gammaproteobacteria; Moraxellales; Moraxellaceae
Description: bacterial SSU rRNA
Rfam family: Bacterial small subunit ribosomal RNA
Source: RNAcentral